UACGGAGGAUCCGAGCGCUAUCCGGAUUUAUUGGGUUUAAAGGGAGCGUAGGUGGAUUGUUAAGUCAGUUGUGAAAGUUUGCGGCUCAACCGUAAAAUUGCAGUUGAAACUGGCAGUCUUGAGUACAGUAGAGGUGGGCGGAAUUCGUGGUGUAGCGGUGAAAUGCUUAGAUAUCACGAAGAACUCCGAUUGCGAAGGCAGCUCACUGGACUGCAACUGACAUUGAGGCUCGAAAGUGUGGGUAUCAAACAGG
This 253-nucleotide ribosomal RNA is filed under the name uncultured bacterium. Its description in RNAcentral is "partial 16S ribosomal RNA". It matches the Rfam family "Bacterial small subunit ribosomal RNA", at positions 524 to 776 of the family's 1533-position model. The record is from RNAcentral.